GAUACUAAACCUUAGCAAAUUAGUAAGGUUAUAGUAUAAGUUAUGCUUGAUUGAGCUCGAGACGUUUUGUGCAGAAUAGAUGUAAAAAAAACAGACUUUAAAACUCAAGUUUCAAAGUAGAGGACUAAAGUUGAAUAUCGUAAUAGGUGAGGGGCUUUUGGAUAAUUGUCACCUUUCAACCUUAUCCCACCGCCUUAAUUAGGAUAAGGUGGCAGGUGCUACUAAUUAAGGUUGCUAUCCUCUCUCUCUCUUUAUGUUAGCUCGUGGGCACGGUGGAGAGCUCGAGCUCGGGAGGUUUUCGUCGUCGACGUUGCGCCGCAGUGCCGUUCGAGCGUGCGUUCGUCGUCGUAGCAUUGUGAGGAGGCCGGGCGAAGGUGUGAUUUCGUCAUUCUCGACGCCGUGCCGGAAUUGGAGUCGCUGGUUGAGGAUCUUGUCGUCGACUGUUAGUAUUUCACCUCGUACGCGACGUAGGAGCAUCGGAUUUCGACGAGAUUUGGUUCGUUGGAACCGGGACUUCGAGACGAAUCCAUAGGAUUCUUACUCGCCCGAUUUGGAGAAGCAUCGACCCGCCGUGUUUUACCUAGUUCUCUGUGUAGGAGUGUCGAAACGCGACGAAAUUUGACGUGCUAGAUUCACGACUUCGAGACGAAGAUUCUGAGCCCAAGAUCGCGAUUUUUGGAGCAGGUUCCAGCGUCGACGUUUCGUAUUCUGGCCCGUUCUCUGCGUAGGAGCGUCGGAAUUCAGCGAAACCUGGGCCAUUGGAUUCGUGACUUCGAGACGAAGCUUCAGGACCCUUGUUUGCUGAAUUUGGAUAAGGUUAGCUUGGUCGGAUUUAACGCUUUCUUCGCUGCCAGGAGUUGCUUGAGAGAGCCACAGGUGUCGGCUGCUGCAUCUUCUGCCGAUCAGGAUCGAGGCAAGGGCGUUGCG
Molecule: long non-coding RNA, 927 nt
Organism: Ananas comosus (pineapple)
Lineage: Eukaryota; Viridiplantae; Streptophyta; Magnoliopsida; Poales; Bromeliaceae
Exons: 5
Source: RefSeq, a predicted model, not a curated record